CCUACGGGAGGCAGCAGUGAGGAAUAUUGGACAAUGGGCGCAAGCCUGAUCCAGCCAUGCCGCGUGCAGGAAGACGGUCCUAUGGAUUGUAAACUGCUUUUGUACAGGAAGAAGCACUCCCUCGUGAGGGAGCUUGACGGUACUGUAAGAAUAAGGAUCGGCUAACUCCGUGCCAGCAGCCGCGGUAAUACGGAGGAUCCAAGCGUUAUCCGGAAUCAUUGGGUUUAAAGGGUCCGUAGGCGGUUUAAUAAGUCAGUGGUGAAAUCUGGUCGCUCAACGAUCAAACGGCCAUUGAUACUGUUAGACUUGAAUUAUUAGGAAGUAACUAGAAUAUGUAGUGUAGCGGUGAAAUGCUUAGAUAUUACAUGGAAUACCAAUUGCGAAGGCAGGUUACUACUAAUGGAUUGACGCUGAUGGACGAAAGCGUGGGGAGCGAACAGGAUUAGAUACCCUGGUAGUCCACGCCGUAAACGAUGGAUACUAGCUGUUCGGAGCAAUCUGAGUGGCUAAGCGAAAGUGAUAAGUAUCCACCUGGGGAGUACGUUCGCAGAUGAAACUCAAGAAUUGACGNNGAGAGNGCGAGNGANAGAGGAGAG
Molecule: ribosomal RNA, 596 nt
Filed under: uncultured bacterium
Lineage: Bacteria
Description: bacterial SSU rRNA
Rfam family: Bacterial small subunit ribosomal RNA
Source: RNAcentral